This 253-nucleotide ribosomal RNA is filed under the name uncultured bacterium. RNAcentral's name for it is "partial 16S ribosomal RNA". It matches the Rfam family "Bacterial small subunit ribosomal RNA", at positions 524 to 776 of the family's 1533-position model. The record is from RNAcentral.
UACGUAGGGUGCAGGCGUUAAUCGGAAUUACUGGGCGUAAAGCGUGCGCAGGCGGUUCGCCAAGUCAGGUGUGAAAUCCCCGGGCUUAACCUGGGAAUUGCGCUUGAAACUAGCGGGCUUGAGUGUGGCAGAGGGGGGUGGAAUUCCACGUGUAGCAGUGAAAUGCGUAGAGAUGUGGAGGAACACCGAUGGCGAAGGCAGCUCCCUGGGUCAACACUGACGCUCAUGCACGAAAGCGUGGGGAGCAAACAGG